RNAcentral lists this ribosomal RNA (253 nucleotides) under uncultured bacterium. RNAcentral's name for it is "partial 16S ribosomal RNA". It matches the Rfam family "Bacterial small subunit ribosomal RNA", at positions 524 to 776 of the family's 1533-position model. The record is from RNAcentral.
UACGAAGGGUGCAAGCGUUACUCGGAAUUACUGGGCGUAAAGGGUGCGUAGGUGGUCGGGUAAGUCUGAGGUGAAAUCUCCGAGCUUAACUCGGAAACUGCCUUGGAUACUAUUCGGCUCGAGGGUUGGAGGGGGGACUGGAAUUCUCGGUGUAGCAGUGAAAUGCGUAGAUAUCGAGAGGAACACCAGUGGCGAAGGCGAGUCCCUGGACAACUCCUGACGCUGAGGCACGAAAGCUAGGGGAGCAAACAGG